Molecule: transfer RNA, 76 nt
Filed under: Bacillota bacterium
Lineage: Bacteria; Bacillati; Bacillota
Description: tRNA-Met
Rfam family: tRNA
About the family: Transfer RNA (tRNA) molecules are approximately 80 nucleotides in length.
Source: RNAcentral
GGCGGUGUAGCUCAGCUGGUAGAGCAGGCGGUUCAUACCCGCUAUGUCGGGGGUUCGAGUCCCUCCACCGCCACCA